Molecule: ribosomal RNA, 369 nt
Filed under: uncultured bacterium
Lineage: Bacteria
Description: bacterial SSU rRNA
Rfam family: Bacterial small subunit ribosomal RNA
Source: RNAcentral
GUAGGGUGCGAGCGUUAAUCGGAAUUACUGGGCGUAAAGCGUGCGCAGGCGGUUUUGUAAGUCAGAUGUGAAAUCCCCGGGCUUAACCUGGGAACUGCGUUUGAAACUACAAGGCUAGAGUGUAGCAGAGGGGGGUGGAAUUCCACGUGUAGCAGUGAAAUGCGUAGAGAUGUGGAGGAACACCGAUGGCGAAGGCAGCCCCCUGGGUUAACACUGACGCUCAGGCACGAAAGCGUGGGGAGCAAACAGGAUUAGAUACCCUGGUAGUCCACGCCCUAAACUAUGUCAACUAGUUGUCGGGCCUUAACGGGCUUGGUAACGCAGCUAACGCGUGAAGUUGACCGCCUGGGGAGUACGGUCGCAAGAUUA